GACGAACGCCGGCGGCGUGCUUAACGCAUGCAAGUCGAACGGUAAGGCCCUUCGGGGUACACGAGUGGCGAACGGGUGAGUAACACGUGGGUGAUCUGCCCUGCACUUCGGGAUAAGCCUGGGAAACUGGGUCUAAUACCGGAUAGGACCACUGCCUGCAUGGGUGGUGGUGGAAAGCUUUUGCGGUGUGGGAUGGGCCCGCGGCCUAUCAGCUUGUUGGUGGGGUGAUGGCCUACCAAGGCGACGACGGGUAGCCGGCCUGAGAGGGUGACCGGCCACACGGGGACUGAGAUACGGCCCAGACUCCUACGGGAGGCAGCAGUGGGGAAUAUUGCACAAGGGGCGCAAGCCUGAUGCAGCGACGCCGCGUGAGGGAUGACGGCCUUCGGGUUGUAAACCUCUUUCAGCACCGACGAAGCGCAAGUGACGGUAGGUGCAGAAGAAGGACCGGCCAACUACGUGCCAGCAGCCGCCGUAA
This 478-nucleotide ribosomal RNA is filed under the name uncultured bacterium. RNAcentral's name for it is "partial 16S ribosomal RNA". It matches the Rfam family "Bacterial small subunit ribosomal RNA", at positions 28 to 523 of the family's 1533-position model. The record is from RNAcentral.